This 741-nucleotide ribosomal RNA is filed under the name Microsporidium sp. BCAB. RNAcentral describes it as "SSU rRNA". It matches the Rfam family "Microsporidia small subunit ribosomal RNA", at positions 46 to 788 of the family's 1311-position model. The record is from RNAcentral. Lineage: Eukaryota; Fungi; Microsporidia.
AGCCAUGCAUGCUUAACGAUAAGUUGGCGAACGGCUCAGUAAUGUUGCGAUGAUUUGGUCUUUUAAAAGAAAUAACCACGGUAAGCUGUGGCUAAAUAAAAAAGAAUAAGACGCAACCUUAUCAGCUUGUUGGUAGUGUAACGGACUACCAAGGCGAUGACGGGUACGGGAAAUGAUUGUUUUAUUCCGGAGAGGGAGCCUUAGAGAUGGCUCCCACGUCCAUGGACGGCAGCAGGCGCGAAAAUUGCCCACUCUUAUUGAGGAGGCAGUUAUGAGACGUGAAUAAGAAAUGAGAGUAAAGACCUUAUUUUCAAUAUUGGAGGGCAAGUUUGGUGCCAGCAGCCGCGGUAAUACCGACUCCAAGAGUGUCUACGAUGGAUGCUGCAGUUAAAAAGUCCGUAGUUGUUAAUGGAAUUAAAAGUCUUUUAUGUAUUAAAUAGGAUUAAAUUGUUAAAAGUAGCGAAACGGGUAGAGUAUUUUGUAUAAAUAGGCGAAGGAUGAAAUAUCAAGACCCUAUUUGGACAGACAGAGGCGAAAGCGAUAUACUUAAACGUAUUUAUGAAUCAAGGACGAAGGCUGGAGGAUCGAAAGUGAUUAGAUACCGCUGUAGUUCCAGCAGUAAACUAUGCCGACAAGAAGAUAAAAGGAGUUAUUCGUUUCUACCUUAUAUUUUCUGGGGGAAACCUUAGUUUUCGGGCUCUGGGGAAAGUACGCUCGCAAGGGUGAAACUUAAAUGAAAUU